AGGCAAUAAUACAGAUUCAAACUCACCGUGCCCAUUCCUUGUGGGGAAAAUGGCUCCACCUGCCAAAAACCUCAGGAGUUUCAUCUGAUUUUCAUCUUCUCAAGGUAAACAGUGGAAGUAUUGACUCAGGAUGGCAUUCAUUCAGCAAAGCUGCUCAGUCUGGGAUUGUCUGCAGACAGUAGUCCUUGCUGUCACAAGCUGUCCAUUAAAAGAGGGUUAGAAGCAACAGCCUGAAGCAGAUUUGACCUCUCCGUGGCCAAAUCUGCAGAAGUGCAGAUGCAGGAUUUGGUUUUAAGGACUGACAUGCUCAGGAUGGACUCAAACCUCCUGCCAGCUCGAAGGCCAGAGGUGUUACUCCUGUGAGGAGCAUCUCACGUGCUGGGGGACAUCCCUCAGCUGUGUCCCCAGAGACCUGCAGAGAAACACAGGAUCAGGCACAUCUGCACACCAGCUGAUAGGACUGGAGGGGCAGAGGAUGGAACACACAGCCAUGGAGCCUCCAAGUACAGAUUUUUUGGAUAUUACCUUUGCUGUACUGACUAAUAUUCACUGGUGCAAAUCAAAUGGAGAUACAGGUUCUCCAAAAAAAGGGUGCCAACAGACUGGAGCUAUCUCCUCAGAGUUAGCCCAGAGCAUGCUUCCUGAUGGCUUUGAAUUGUGCUUCUCCUGCAGGAGUGACAGCUGGAGAGACCCACUGAGAAGUGAACAAGGAAGAUGGAGGAGCACUGACAGAAACAAUCCCACCCCUGAUGUUUCACUUUGCUACUCCAUUUCUCUUCCCUCAUUUUUGCUUCCCCUUUCCUCUGAUAAAAUUUUUCCUGAAGCUUAAUUUUUUUCAAUGUUCUUUUUCUUUUUCAGAACAAUUAAUUCCAUGUUAAAAAAUUUGUCUAAGCGAUGUUUUCCAAGUCCAUAACAGCUCAAAUUUUACAGUAAAAUAAAAAUCUCCUGUAUAAUGUGGUGAAGGUUUUA
Molecule: long non-coding RNA, 969 nt
Filed under: Cyanistes caeruleus (blue tit)
Lineage: Eukaryota; Metazoa; Chordata; Aves; Passeriformes; Paridae
Description: lncRNA (ENSCCEG00000003086.1)
Source: RNAcentral